UACGUAGGGGGCUAGCGUUGUCCGGAUUUAUUGGGCGUAAAGAGCGUGUAGGCGGCCAGGUAGGUACGGUGUGAAAACUCGAGGCUUAACCUCGAGAUGUCAUCGGAAACCAUCUGGCUAGAGUCCGGAAGAGGAAAGUGGAAUUCCUGGUGUAGCGGUGAAAUGCGCAGAUAUCAGGAAGAACACCAAUGGCGAAAGCAGCUUUCUGGGACGGUACUGACGCUGAGACGCGAAAGCGUGGGGAGCGAACAGG
Molecule: ribosomal RNA, 253 nt
Filed under: uncultured bacterium
Lineage: Bacteria
Description: partial 16S ribosomal RNA
Rfam family: Bacterial small subunit ribosomal RNA
Source: RNAcentral